Araneus ventricosus is the source of this 73-nucleotide non-coding RNA. Lineage: Eukaryota; Metazoa; Arthropoda; Arachnida; Araneae; Araneidae. The record is from the annotation of a GenBank genome assembly.
UGGAAAUGCGGGGAUUCGAACCCCGGGCCUUCCACAUGCGAAGCGAACGCUCUACCUCUGAGUCCACAUGCGC